AAUCAACGCUGGCGGCGUGCCUAACACAUGCAAGUCGAACGAGAAAGCGGGGGCGAACUCCGUGAGUAAAGUAGGCGACCGGGUGAGUAACACGUGACUAACCUACCCUUGAGUGGGGGAGUAACUCCGGGAACCGGAGCUAAUACCGCAUAACAUCCCGCGCAAGCGGUGAUCAAAGGAAGCAAUUCGCUCAGGGAGGGGGUCGGCGGGCUGAUUAGCUAGUUGG
This 226-nucleotide ribosomal RNA is filed under the name uncultured bacterium. Its description in RNAcentral is "partial 16S ribosomal RNA". It matches the Rfam family "Bacterial small subunit ribosomal RNA", at positions 32 to 252 of the family's 1533-position model. The record is from RNAcentral.